RNAcentral lists this ribosomal RNA (79 nucleotides) under Helicobacter canadensis MIT 98-5491. RNAcentral's name for it is "16S ribosomal RNA". Lineage: Bacteria; Pseudomonadati; Campylobacterota; Epsilonproteobacteria; Campylobacterales; Helicobacteraceae. The record is from RNAcentral.
CACCUAGCUCCAUUCCGAACCUAGAAGUUAAGCUCUUCUUCGCUGAUGAUACUGCAACUUUCAGAUGUGGUAAAGUAGG